ACUCCUACGGGAGGCAGCAGUGGGGAAUAUUGCACAAUGGGCGCAAGCCUGAUGCAGCAACGCCGCGUGAGCGAUGAAGGCCUUCGGGUCGUAAAGCUCUGUCCUCAAGGAAGAAUAAAUGACGGUACUUGAGGAGGAAGCCCCGGCUAACUACGUGCCAGCAGCCGCGGUAAUACGUAGGGGCAAGCGUUAUCCGGAAUCACUGGGCGUAAAGGGUGCGUAGGCGGUUUUUCAAGUCAGAAGUGAAAGGCUAUGGCUCAACCAUAGUAAGCUUUUGAAACUGUUAAACUUGAGUGCAGGAGAGGAAAGUGGAAUUCCUAGUGUAGAGGUGAAAUUCGUAGAUAUUAGGAGGAACACCAGUGGCGAAGGCGACUUUCUGGACUGUAACUGACGCUGAGGCACGAAAGCGUGGGAGCGAACAGGAUUAGAUACCCGUGUAGACUGU
RNAcentral lists this ribosomal RNA (445 nucleotides) under uncultured bacterium. Its description in RNAcentral is "bacterial SSU rRNA". It matches the Rfam family "Bacterial small subunit ribosomal RNA", at positions 335 to 798 of the family's 1533-position model. The record is from RNAcentral.